Long non-coding RNA from Triticum dicoccoides, 156 nucleotides. RefSeq lists it as uncharacterized. The record is from RefSeq and is a predicted model, not a curated record. Lineage: Eukaryota; Viridiplantae; Streptophyta; Magnoliopsida; Poales; Poaceae. The transcript is spliced from 3 exons.
AUUGAAGCCAGUAGUUGUAUACCUAUUUCAAAAAUCAGCAAGUGGUUAGUAACAUUCUACAUCAAGGUUAUCAUAUGACAGAACGUCUGGGGUGAAAGCUAAGCUACUUCCAAUGGUCCCAAAUGAGAAGGCAAGAAGGUAUCAGCUGUAUGAGAA